CACCAUCUGUAGCACACCCUGCCACUGCCUCCUAUUUCUCUUCCGCCCUGACCUUCCUUGCUCCUCAUAUAAGGUAAAUCUGAAGCAUAUUCCACAUCAUUUCCUGGAGCUUCCCAAUGAGAUUGAGCUCCCAUUGUCCCCAGUGAUAAUUUACUUAAAAACUCAUGCUUUAUCAAUAUCCCCUCAUGCCUCAGUGUUUCCUGGGAGUGCUUUCCCAAUAAACCACUUGCUCUUGGAUCCUCAUCUCAGAAUUUGCUUCUAGGAAAAUUAACUAAGAUAGUAUCUGUCAGGCCUCUGAGCCCAAGCCAAGCCAUCACAUCCCCUGUGACUUGCAUGUAUAUGUCCAGAUGGCCUGAAGUAACUGAAGAAUCACAAAAGAAGUGAAUAGGCCCUGCCCCACCUUAACUGAUGACAUUCCACCACAAAAGAAGUGUAAAUAGCCAGUUCUUAAGUGAUGACAUUACCUUGUGAAAGUCCUUUUCCUGGCUCAUCCUGGCUCAAAAAGCACCCCCACUGAGCACCUUGUGACCCCCACUCCUGCCCACCAGAGAACAAACCCCCUUUGACUGUAAUUUUCCUUUACCUACCCAAAUCCUAUAAAACAGCCCCACCCUUAUCUCCCUUCACUGACUCUCUUUUUGGACUCAGCCCACCUGCACCCAGGUGAAAUAAACAGCCAUGUUGCUCACACAAAGCCUGUUUGGUGGUCUCUUCACACGGAAGCACAUGAAAUUUGGUGCCAUGACUCAGGUCAGGGGACCUCCCUUGAGAGUUCAAUCCCCUGUCCUCCUGUUCUUUUCUCUGUGAGAAAGAUCCACCUACGACCUCAGGUCCUCAGACCGACCAGCCCAAGGAACAUCUCACCAAUUUUAAAUCCGGAUUUAAUUAACCUCGCCUUCAAGAUGUACAAUAAUGGAAAAAAGUUGCAAUUCCUUGCCUCCACUGUGAGACAAACCCCAGCCACAUCUCCAGCACACAAGAAUUUCCAAAAGCCUGAACCGCAGCGGCCAGGCGUUCCUCCAGAACCUCCUCCCCCAGGAGCUUGCUACACAUGCCAGAAAUCUGGCCACUGGGCCAAGGAAUGCCCGCAGCCUGGGAUUCCUCCUAAGCUGCAUCCCAUCUGUGUGGGACCCCACUGAAAAUCGGACUUUUCAACUCACCUAGCAGCCACUCCCAGAGCCCCUGGAACUCUGGCUCAAGGCUCUCUGACUGACUCCUUCCCAGAUCUUCUCGGCUUAGCGGCUGAAGACUGACACUGCCCAAUCGCCUCGCAAGCCCCCUAGACCAUCACGGACGCCGAGCUUCGGGUAACUCUCACAGUGGAAGGCAUUACACCUAAAAGUAAUUUGAGCACCUUGAGCUUAGAGCCUACCUUGGCUAAUGGGAAACACUCCAGCUGUGCUAAGAUGGUCCUCAAUAGUCAACAAGCACUACUGAAAGUCUGGUAGGUGUGUGCAUUUGAAUGAAUCCUCAGUCUUCUCUAAUUCUGUCUGGAAGGAUUCAUUAAAGGCCUUUCUCAUGUCUUGAUUAAUUGCCCUUCAAGGAUAAAUUUUCAUGACAUAUAGAAGCCGUUUUUAUCUACAGCAUCAAUUUUUCUGCUAUAAAUGAGCAAAAUGAGUGUCCCAUCUCUGGACAUACCUGGUUAUGCAAGAACUUAACAUCCCUUGAUGCUUUGUGAAAAGAACAGUUAAGAUCUUUUGCCCAUGUAAAAUGGAAUCCAUCUAUUAAAAUUGUACCUUGAAUUGCUAAGUUUGAAAAGAUCAUACAAUAUCUCAUCUUUGGUUUUUGAACUGCAGAAAGUUAAUCUGAAAUAGUUCAAUUUGGGUAGUAGAAUUUCCAAAAGCUGCCCAAAAGACAAAAUCUAUUUGAAAAAAGAAAAAAAACCAGCAAAGUGGGAACAGGUUAAGUUGUCUUUCCAUUCCUUUGGUCAGUAUCAUUCAGUUUGGAUUAUAAUCCAUGAUUUCUAAAAUAUAACCCACUUCAUAUGCCCUUAAAGACUAAGACCUCUAUUAAAAGCAGAGCAUUUCUUGUCAUUCUUUCCAUUGUAUUGACCACUGAGCGAUUCAUUAACAAUUGAUCU
Molecule: long non-coding RNA, 2080 nt
Organism: Pan troglodytes (chimpanzee)
Lineage: Eukaryota; Metazoa; Chordata; Mammalia; Primates; Hominidae
Exons: 3
Source: RefSeq, a predicted model, not a curated record